This is a long non-coding RNA of Elgaria multicarinata webbii, 168 nucleotides long. RefSeq lists it as uncharacterized. The transcript is spliced from 3 exons. The record is from RefSeq and is a predicted model, not a curated record. Lineage: Eukaryota; Metazoa; Chordata; Lepidosauria; Squamata; Anguidae.
GGACGGGCGCUUGAGGCACAGCCGCCGCCGCUUCGCCGCCGCCAUGAGCAGCAUCGUGGAGAAGUACAACUUUCCCUUUGAUGAAGAUAUGGUUGUAUCUAUCAGAUCUCUGACUUAUGAUACACCUGAUGGGCCAAAGGUUUGGGGAGAAGAGACAAGCACUGACAU